RNAcentral lists this transfer RNA (86 nucleotides) under Nakamurella panacisegetis. RNAcentral's name for it is "tRNA_Leu_CAG". It matches the Rfam family "tRNA". From Rfam's summary of the family: Transfer RNA (tRNA) molecules are approximately 80 nucleotides in length. Their secondary structure includes four short double-helical elements and three loops (D, anti-codon, and T loops). Further hydrogen bonds mediate the characteristic L-shaped molecular structure. tRNAs have two regions of fundamental functional importance: the anti-codon, which is responsible for specific mRNA codon recognition, and the 3' end, to which the tRNAs corresponding amino acid is attached (by aminoacyl-tRNA synthetases). tRNAs cope with the degeneracy of the genetic code in two manners: having more than one tRNA (with a specific anti-codon) for a particular amino acid; and 'wobble' base-pairing, i.e. permitting non-standard base-pairing at the 3rd anti-codon position. Lineage: Bacteria; Bacillati; Actinomycetota; Actinomycetes; Nakamurellales; Nakamurellaceae. The record is from RNAcentral.
GGGCGAGUGGCGAAAUGGCAGACGCGCACGGUUCAGGUCCGUGUCCUGGAAACGGGGUGGGGGUUCAACUCCCCCCUCGCCCACCA